Molecule: long non-coding RNA, 1467 nt
Filed under: Anser brachyrhynchus (Pink-footed goose)
Lineage: Eukaryota; Metazoa; Chordata; Aves; Anseriformes; Anatidae
Description: lncRNA (ENSABRG00000002671.1)
Source: RNAcentral
CGCGGUCCCUGUGGCCUUUGGGUUGCCCAGAGCCAGCCGUGCUGUCCUCAGGAGAACCACAAGGGCACCCGGAUUAGUGCCAUUGUCACAGAGAUGAGCCGGGGACACACCAGGGGGGAGAAAGAGCUGAGGAGAAAGGCCAGUGUGGGGAGACAAGGAUGUAACCUUUGUCAUUCCCAAAUGCCUUUUAAUCGAUGGCGAUACGUUGCAGAGUUUUGUAGUGUUCAUUUUCUCCUCAUGAAUUUCAGGCAAAAAUACCUUUUUUUUUGCCCCCUAAUCUUAUUUUUGGUUUACCUCAUUUUACCUCUCCCCCGCCCCCCAAGUUUGUCACUGAAAUAUAAGCUGUGGUGUAGGGGGGAGAAGGAAAUCAAAGACAGAAUAAUAUGGCACUUGUGAUCUUUUUUCUUUUAAACUCCUGUUUAGACUAAAGACCCCCAAUUUUGCUUUCCUCAGCUGGCUCCCCUGCAGAGCUGCCUUUCUAGUGGGCUCACAUUCCCUGUACCAACAUGAUGUCUCUUCGGCGUUGCAGUGCUUGAGCUCUUUGGAGAUGUAGGUGUUUUAAGAAGCCAAACAGUCGGUGGAGUUUCUCGACUGGUGACUUGCAGCAGAUGGACCUGCAAAGGCGUGCGAAACGAAGCCUCAGCUCGGUUCGGUGGGGAAGGAGAGCAUCUCUGCUAAGUGUUGGCAGCCGGGGAGCUCCCCCCACCUCCCCGGGCAGCUGUGCAGCCGCUCCAGAGAAGGAAACCCUUCCCAUAUCUGCCUCCCAUCCCGCUCAGCUGCCUCCUGCAAGGUCCUCAUCCCCUGUUUCACACCUUCCUCAGAGCCUGGUCAUCAACCACCGCCAUGCUCCCCAGCUGACACCAUUUCUCCUCUGUCCUACAGGAGCUGAGCCACACUCCUCAGUAUACGACUGCCCACGCUCAGGGGAGCAAGUGCACUUUGCCAGAGGAGCUAAGCAGAAGGUGUGUGGUGUCACUGGUAGCUCAGCGUUGGCUUCUGAGGCUGAGCCUACAGGCGUGGAUGGCUUGGCACCAGGGUCCCCAGCUCAGAGAGGAAACAAGAGGGUGGAGGAGUCACAGGGACAAGUGUUCUCGGUCAGGGAGGUGGUGGCAGUACCAGUGGCUGAGAGCUCAGCUAAAUGUCUUCAUCUUGGUUAUUUUUGCCAUUCCUUCCCACCCUUCCUCUGCUCUCUGGCCUGGCUGAGGCAUGUCUCCUCACCUGAAGCCCUGCUACAGUCCUCUCCCAAACUCAGGUGUCCUGCACUCCAUUCCGCUGAAACCUGCCAGACCUUCACGUCUUCUCACAAAAUCUUUGGGUGACCUUGUCUCAUGCUUCCUUGCAAAGUCAUUCUGUUUACUUUAUCCUCAGCUACUGCAGCUUGUUCUGCUUCCCAGUUCAGAGCUUUUGUCCUCCGACCCAGACCCCUGCCCCAAGCUAUCCCUUCAUGCCUCGUGACUUCUCUUAAAA